GGAGUUGUCAUCUAGCGGCCUAGGAUGAAACGUUCUCAGCGUUUACACACGGGUUCGAAUCCCGUCAACUCUACCA
This 76-nucleotide transfer RNA is filed under the name Nitrosomonadaceae bacterium. RNAcentral describes it as "tRNA-Glu". It matches the Rfam family "tRNA". Rfam says of the family: Transfer RNA (tRNA) molecules are approximately 80 nucleotides in length. Their secondary structure includes four short double-helical elements and three loops (D, anti-codon, and T loops). Further hydrogen bonds mediate the characteristic L-shaped molecular structure. tRNAs have two regions of fundamental functional importance: the anti-codon, which is responsible for specific mRNA codon recognition, and the 3' end, to which the tRNAs corresponding amino acid is attached (by aminoacyl-tRNA synthetases). tRNAs cope with the degeneracy of the genetic code in two manners: having more than one tRNA (with a specific anti-codon) for a particular amino acid; and 'wobble' base-pairing, i.e. permitting non-standard base-pairing at the 3rd anti-codon position. Lineage: Bacteria; Pseudomonadati; Pseudomonadota; Betaproteobacteria; Nitrosomonadales; Nitrosomonadaceae. The record is from RNAcentral.